RNAcentral lists this ribosomal RNA (253 nucleotides) under uncultured bacterium. Its description in RNAcentral is "partial 16S ribosomal RNA". It matches the Rfam family "Bacterial small subunit ribosomal RNA", at positions 524 to 776 of the family's 1533-position model. The record is from RNAcentral.
UACGGGGGGGGCAAGCGUUGUUCGGAAUUACUGGGCGUAAAGGGCUCGUAGGUGGCCAACUAAGUCAGACGUGAAAUCCCUCAGCUUAACUGGGGAACUGCGUCUGAUACUGGAUGGCUUGAGAUUGGGAGAGGGAUGCGGAAUUCCAGGUGUAGCGGUGAAAUGCGUAGAUAUCUGGAGGAACACCGGUGGCGAAGGCAGCUCACUGGCCGUUAUCUGACGCUGAGGCGCGAAAGCGUGGGUAGCAAACAGG